This 500-nucleotide ribosomal RNA is filed under the name uncultured bacterium. RNAcentral describes it as "bacterial SSU rRNA". It matches the Rfam family "Bacterial small subunit ribosomal RNA", at positions 28 to 514 of the family's 1533-position model. The record is from RNAcentral.
GAUGAACGCUAGCUACAGGCUUAACACAUGCAAGUCGAGGGGAAACGACAUCGGAAGCUUGCUUUUGAUGGGCGUCGACCGGCGCACGGGUGAGUAACGCGUAUCCAACCUGCCCACCACUUGGGAAUAACCUUGCGAAAGUAAGACUAAUACCCAAUGACGUCUCUAGAAGACAUCUGAAAGAGAUUAAAGAUUUAUCGGUGAUGGAUGGGGAUGCGUCUGAUUAGCUUGUUGGCGGGGUAACGGCCCACCAAGGCGACGAUCAGUAGGGGUUCUGAGAGGAAGGUCCCCCACAUUGGAACUGAGACACGGUCCAAACUCCUACGGGAGGCAGCAGUGAGGAAUAUUGGUCAAUGGACGAGAGUCUGAACCAGCCAAGUAGCGUGCAGGAUGACGGCCCUAAUGGGUUGUAAACUGCUUUUAUAAGGGAAUAAAGUGAGUCUCGUGAGACUUUUUGCAUGUACCUUAUGAAUAAGGACCGGCUAAUUCCGUGCCAGCAG